AUGGACAAAGCUUCUGUUCCCGAUGAUCCACCAGAUUGGAGCACCGAUUGUGAUUGGUCCCAGCUUCAGGCCGACAUGCUCCUCCGGAUCGUUGGCACUCUUGAGAUCCCAGAUCUCUUCAGCUCAGGUGCGGUCUGUCGAUCCUGGCACCUCAUUUAUCUAGAGGCCCGUCGUUUCCGCCUGUGCUCGCCGAAACAGAGCCCCUGCCUUGUUUACUCAUCUGGCGACCGUGAUGCUGACACGGUCACUCUGCAUAACAUGUCCACCAACAAGCUUUACCACGUCACUCUAUCGGAGCCUGCCUUCCGCACACGCCAUGUCAUGGGCUCCUCCCACGGUUGGCUCAUCACCGCGGAUGAGCGGUCAAAUCUCAUACUAGUGAACCCUGCAACCGGAGCUCAGAUAGCUAUGCCUCCACCUGAAACCAUGAACAAUGUUAGACUGCGCUACACUGAAGAGGGUGUGCUAGAUGGAUAUGAUGUUCUUUACAUGGAUAUCUUAUCUUCGGAUUUUGACACAGAAACGGAGCCAUACCAUCUUACACUUGAAGAAGCCCGCUUCUUCUUUUAUGAGAGGGUUGUUCUUUCUUGCGACCCCUCCCAAGGAAACUGCAUGGUGCUCUGA
Molecule: ribosomal RNA, 624 nt
Filed under: Triticum aestivum (bread wheat)
Lineage: Eukaryota; Viridiplantae; Streptophyta; Magnoliopsida; Poales; Poaceae
Description: partial small subunit ribosomal RNA
Source: RNAcentral